Non-coding RNA from Leptonychotes weddellii (Weddell seal), 529 nucleotides. NCBI's taxonomy places the organism in Eukaryota, Metazoa, Chordata, Mammalia, Carnivora, Phocidae. The record is from RefSeq and is a predicted model, not a curated record.
GGUUCGCGUCCGCGAACUCCCGUCUCUUCGCUGUCACUCCGCACGGGGACUUCACGUGCGCCGAGGCCGCCUCGGAGGCGGGGUCUGGUUGGGUCGCUUUUUCGAGGGCGCCGGGGAAAACACUUCUUUCCCACAUCAGAUGUUUCUUGAAGUAUGGAGUGGGUGCCACUACCAUAACUCUCAAUACUCUAUUCCAGUGCUCCUAGCAAGUUUCCUGAUGUGCAUUCUGGGAACAAAAUCUACACUUUACCAGUGACUCCAGGAGAUCCCACAAAAGAGGUGAACAUUGUAUUGGAGAAGUGACCUUAUGAAGGUAGGAGCAGAAGGUGGGAGCAGGACUGCCCUGACUGCUGACUUCUUAUCCAAGGAGGAUAAUCAUAUCCCAAGUUGAUCUCAGUGGGUAAGCUGAAGGGGUUAAGGCAAUGGUCUUCAUACAUUUUGCUGACAUAACCCCCAAAUAAUUUUUAAGUUGACAUGUAAAAUUUUUUUGUCCUAAGUUUAGUUGCAAAAGAUGUAAUUUCUGGUUAAA